Molecule: long non-coding RNA, 6283 nt
Organism: Dermacentor andersoni
Lineage: Eukaryota; Metazoa; Arthropoda; Arachnida; Ixodida; Ixodidae
Source: RefSeq, a predicted model, not a curated record
CACACACUUCCGCACAGGUUUCACUGACGACGCCGAGGUGAGUGGGUUCUCGGACACGGGUUUUGCCCCGAGCAGGCGCCUCUUCAUCCCAGUGUUGACUCCGCAGAUAAUGGCCGCCGCGUCUGUCCAUGAUUUCUAAGCCCCGUGAGACGGCCGCCAGACAUCUCCCAGGAGUUCCACCGCUUCUAACAAACUGUGGCGGCCACGGCGAAUCCACGAACAAUACUUGGUCCGCCGACCGCGUUUAGUCAUAGGGGCGCCGAGGGAGUGUUGAUGAGGCCCACCGUCGUCCCUGCAAAACGAGUCGCCGCGGCAGAUGGGGAAGGCUUCUAUGGUCGCGUCUGGGAAGCUCGCUACCCUCGCUGCUGCGGCUGGCUGGGAAAAUUUUGUAGGUCGGUACCCUUGCAGGCCGUUCGUAACAACAGGGAGAGGUGUUUACUUGAGGUGUUGUGCGCCAUAUUUCAUAACCUCUGAGAGGGUUGAGCAUAGUAAUUGGUUCACAUGGCACAUCACACUGUGGCAGAAGUAUUAAACUUGAAUUGGAUUGUGGGUCUGUAGGCGUCAAAACCAUAAUCGGAUUAUGAGACAAGCCGUAGUGGCGGACUCCGGAUUAAUUUUGACACCGUGAUGUUCUUUAACAUGUCCCAAAAUCGAAGGGCACAUGCGUUUCCUGUUUCGCCUUCGUCGAAAUGCGGCUGCCGCGAUUGGGAUGAAAUCCACUCCCUCUUGUAAUGCCACAGCCGCAAAGCUAACGCGGCGGGCCCAGAAGUGUUGAUUUGACGGUCGGCCGCUUCCGUGGUGUCUCCUGCACCCUGCGGUGCGCUUUAAUUAAUGCGGCUCUGCUUCUGCACGCCCUGCGUAAGUUGCCCGCAUGGCAUAUUUGCAUGGCGUUUAUGUUUCAUAAAUGGCAGAAAUGUACUGAGCCGUACCUGGAACUUAAGGUUAUCCUGUUCCCCAGCAACCGCUGUCGCGUAAUAGAGAGAUUUAGUUUAGGGGACGCAAGCGGCUUCCGUCCUCUAAACUACAGCUCUCUAGUAGUGGGGUUUCCUUGCCUUCUCACAUCACCUCCCCACUCUCUCUUAUAUGAAAACUCCCUCUUCUCCUCCCUCUCCUCUUCUCCUUUCUACAGAUCUAUCGGCGUCCCCUCUGUGCUCGCACUUAGCAUAAAGGGAAGCGCUGCAGUUUCUGCAAUGCUUCUGAGCGGAGUCACCGAUAAUUAUAGCUGUCAAGCGGCUAAUGUUGCGAUGGCCAGGGAGCCCCAGAGGGCAUUGUACACAUUCGACGCGGUGUCGUGAAAACUACUUUCUGCUGUCGCCUUUCCUCUCUGAAGGCCCAACCACUGACACGCGUCGCCAAGCUUCGGCAUGCGCCAAUGCGUCAAAAGCGUCGGUCGGGAAGGAGGCGAAGCGUGACGACGAGCAGCAAUUUUGUAGACUGCCGAUGCUAGAAGUUCGCCGACACGCGGCGACGCUACGCUGGCGAGCACCAAUCAUAGGCUGCGACGCGUCGCCGGCGUCAACCAAUCGGAGGCUGCGAAGCCUCCUGCUGCUAUGGCUAUGCUGCUAUGCCUAUGAUGGCCGCCCAUGCGAAGAUGCCGAGACCAACGAUCGUCUGAGAUCUUUUUACGUAUGACGCACGUGACAGUGUUACUAAAUGAGUGUUGUAUUAGUGGGCAGACGACAUGACCGACGACCGUGGGUUGUGGCAGUGCGACCUGAAUACGAACCGACCUGGAUACAACGCCGAAAAAUCCAACCUGCUGCUCACUGGGUUCCACCGGUCUCAGUGUGAUCGUCUGUUAAAACAUCCAACCACAUCACGAUUGCCGCAACGUCUGUACUUGGUAUAUGUGUAUUUUGUUGUGCUCGAAGCUAAUGGAAACAUGCUUCCGAACUCAGAAGUCUGCAUAAUCGGCACUCGCCUUUCGCCCAUGUUGUUUACGUUACGAUAUGCGUAGCGCGUCCAUCGAGUUCGUAGCUGGCGAAGCUGAACGAGCCCAGCUGAGAAACUCUGUCGAAGGAAAUGAAUUUUCAGUUCUGUUUGGCGCUGCAGCUAUUUGAAAUAUGGCACUCCUGACUUCGUGUGGUGUGUGAUGUGGUGAAUGCACUGUCUGAACCGUGGCGUUUUUCAUGUGGUCUCAGGUGACUCAAGUUUGACGGGCUAUCUCUGUGCUGUUUCCAGUGGCAAAGAUAACGUUCGAAAGCGAAAGAGACUAGUAGCCGAACAAUGGGAAGUACGUGUACAUCAACAGCCAUGCCGUCCGUUUCAGGUGACAGUGCGCUCUUCUAUUCGGCAUGUGAAUGCAGUUCAGUACGAGUUGGCUGUACUCCCUCACUCACUUCUUUCAACUGCAUGCGUCUUUUGGGCUAGUUGGGGAUAAAUCGCUCGUGCCGCACUCAAGAACACUGACGCACUGAAGGAUACGUGACGCAGCGCGGUUAUGUUUGAGUCAGUGUGUCCUUAUACUUGAGCACUGCAAAAAGAAAUCUCUUUGCAACGUGUGCAGUGCAUAGCAAAACUGCAUCAUGCAAGACCUAUGCAUGUAGCAGCGUAUACCAGGAUAGCUUCGAUGACUGCUUCAGAAGCAGCAAUCACUGAGUCAGUGAAACUGUAAUUGAUUUUUUCUCUCAGUUUUUGUUUAUGGAAAGUGCAGACGGUGUGAGUGCAUUCUUGGGAUGGUGAAAAUGUAUCAUCAGUUCUUUGUGAAGUCGGUAUGCUUAAACUGCCCAAAUCUCUUCAACUUCUACUAGAAUGUUUCUUGCUGUGAUACUAUAAACUGUAGUCCGGAAAAUGAUCAAGUCGAAACCAAGUUCCUAAUGCAUCUUCGCAGAAUGUGUUUUAUUAACAAGUCAACACCUCCACUGCAACAUUCUGCAGAUAUACAGCAUAUGUUCUUGAAAUAAAUACAUUCCGUAAAGGUGAACGACUGGGCCCACAAUAACAAACUUUCUAGUAGCACUGCAAAAAGUACUGCCAUAUGUAUCAGCCACAACAAAACUGUUGCGUCUCCAACCUACUUCGUUGGAGGCACACCUAUAAAGACUUUUGGGGCCCUUCCCAUUCUGGGUGUAACAUUCAGCUCCUCUCUAAAGUUUUCCGCAUAUGUCACCAGCACUGCAUCUAAGGAUUGGGCCAUUCUUGGGUUUUUGUCCAGCGUGUCCCUCUCCUGAUGACCUGAGGUUUUCCGAGCGCGCUACACUUACAUGAUUCUGCCACGACUUUAGUAUUGCUCAUCAGUAUAGUCCGCGUACCAAACUCGCGUCGCUAACAAACUUGAGCUUGUUCAGCGCCGGACAACACGCACCCUCUAUUUCCGUCUUUUCGGUUGUGGCAAGCCCAUGCCAGCCUACGAAGAUUGUCUCAAAGCCGUCAAGUAGCAUACGCUGAAAUACCAGCGCAACAUUGCACUAGUCUAUCUAUUCUGCAGGUUGCUUCAGGGCUCUCUGGACAGCACUCAUCUUUCUUCUUCAGCUCGUCUGAACAAGUGGUCAGCACCGCCUAAGCCCCACCAGUUUGGUUCCUGUGUCCUCGACCGUCACUACCACGUGACAUCUGGUGGGGGUGCUGGUUUGUUCAUGUGCCCGACGCCACCGACAAGCCGUUAUGCAAACCCGGACCGCAAAGACAGCACCAACAUCGUCCCGGAAUAUUGAGCAAGCCGCCGACUGCAACAGCUGCCCCCGGAGUACGGACAUAUACCUGAGAAGACCAAGAAGAGCGUGGCCAAGACAACACCAAUGGCUGCCCCAGCGUACUCCAUUUUGCUGCAACAACCUUGGGACACACCAUCCUUUCAUAGACCAUCGACUGAAGACCCAGAAUCAAGACUAGAGACCUACGAGCUAAUCGUGUCUUUCAACAACGGGGACUCCGAAGACAAGCUGCGGCAUGUAUACUUCGCCUUAGAAGACGCCGCCAGAAUGUGGUUCGAGAACGGCGAGUCGACCCUGACAACGUGGGACCUAUUCUGUAGUGGCUUCGUGGAGAAUUUUACGAGUAUGGUGCGCAAGGGCCGACGCUACGCUAGAAGCCCGACUACAAUUACCCAACGAGACCAUAGCGAUCUUCACUGAGGAGAUGACGUUCCUCUUCCGCCACGCCGACCCGGAUAUGCCUGAGGAGAAGAAAAUUCGGUUCCUCAUGCGUGUGGUAAAACAGGAGCUCUUCGCCGGCUAGAUACGCAACCCGCCCAGGACUCUUGCUGAAUUCGUUUCCGAAGUAACAACCAUUGAGAAGACGCUCGAUAUGCGGACAACGCAGUAUAAUUGCCGAUACUGCACCGAUGUUCGAUCACUCGGCAGUGAAAACAUGCGAGAGACCACAAGAGCGGUCGUUCGCGAGGAACUGCAGAAGCCCCUCCCUAGGUCGCAGCCUCAAGCUGUCUCAAUCGCCGACAUCGUCAAAGAGGAGGUUCAGCGAUCACUUGGGGUUACUGAAGUGAAACCGUCGUCGCCACAGCCCCAGCCGGAAACGAUGACGUACGCCGCUGUAGCCCGCCGUCACGUUCCCCCUCCGCUCCCAUGGCAGGGCCCAGUGACGCCACCGUUCCGUCGUCCACCACCGCCGCCAGCACGCCAACCCAUCGCCCUACGCAGCAUUCAAGGAAGACUGACGUUUGGCGCGCCCCCGACCACCGUCCACUUGCUAUCCCUGGGGAGAAGCCAAGCACACCUACCGUCGAUGCCCUUACCGCGAGAUAGGACUGCGAGGGUUCGCUAUCAACGCACCGCGCCCACAGCAAGGUGAACGCCCACGUGACAUCGCCGACUAGUUCGCUGCCACACAAUGGAGCCCUCGACGACCGUCCCGUUCGCCGUCACCGGGGCGCUACCUGUUGCCGCAGCGCCGUCCAUAAACUGGCCCAGUCCGGGGCCGGACCGUCACCCCAUAUCCGAAAACUAAAGGCAGCAACCGAUGGAAGUGCGGUUGCUGUUCGUGUUCGUCGAACUGACGAAGAUCCUCCACCACCGACGAAGACACCGAAAAGACUUUUUCGACGACGCCAUGCCGACGAAGCCUGAAAGUAAAGAAUACGCCGACAAAAGACGACCUGACGACGCGGCGUCCCAGCUUCAAUUCUACACGUUGUAGCCGUGAUCCGACACCAAGACCUAACGGAAAUACAGCCAGACAAGCCACAGUAGGACAACUGCCUGCCACCCGCAGACGAAUGGUCUCACGGAUUGCAUGAACACGACCUUCGCCGACAUGCUAGCGACGUACGUCGACGUCGAGCACAAGACGUGGGACGCGGUCCUGCUCUACGGAACGUUUGCUUACAACACGCAAUGCAAGAAACGCAGAUCACGCCGUUCAAGCUGGUUUACGGCAGGAAUCUGACGACGACUCUCGACGCCACGCUGUCACAAGUCACCGACGAAGAGAAUCUUGAUGUCGCCACAUAUCUACAGGGCGCCGAAGAAGCCCGACAGCUCGCCCGCCUGUGCAUCAAGAACCAGCGGAAGACCGACAACCGACACUACAACCUUCGACGACGCUAUGUCGAGUAGCAACCCGAAGACCGUGUUUGGGUUUAUACCCCAAUACGCCGACGAGGACUCAGUGAGGAACUAUUACGCCGCUAUUUCGGACCCUACAAGAUCAUCCGGUGCAUUAGCUCACUCGACUAUGAGGUCGUACCAGACGGCAUUUCGCUAUCAGAGCGACGCCGCUCACGACCUAAAAUAGUCCAUGUGUGCCGCUUAAGCCGUUCUACCAGCGCUAAUGAACUUUGACACUUUACAUAGCUGAACCUUACACCUUUUGUUUUUGGACUGUGUUACUGCGGCCUUUUCUUCUUUCUUGUUUUGUUGGUUUAGUUUAAUAAGUGUCCUUAUUGUUUUCAGCUAUCCUGUUUGGUUUUCAGCAUCGGGGCGAUGCUCUUUGAGAAAGGGGAAUUGACACAUGUACUUGUUUGUUAUUUCCGGGUGACCGCCUUUCACCGUCUAGCAAAUGUUAUCCCACAGUGUAGGACGCGCCUGCAUGUAUCGGAAGUUUCUCGAAUGCUAUCGAUGGUUCCUUUUACUGCUUGGUGGCACCGAACCUUGUGAAAUCUGAAUUACUGUCUGCGCGACGCGAAUGAUGCAGAACUUUUUGGAAGAAGCGCGGGCACCAGCCAUUACUCUGGAACCUUCGCCGACUGAUGUAUCAAUGCCGACGCGCUUGAUCCGCAGAAGAGAUUUUCGCCGAUCGCCGACUGUGUUUGCUGCUUUCGUUGAGCUUUGAGUGUAGCCUGUUCUUGUGGGCACAGGUUCGCCGAAUAAAGUUAGUUUCGCCAUUCACA